This 694-nucleotide ribosomal RNA is filed under the name Kribbella sp. Its description in RNAcentral is "bacterial SSU rRNA". It matches the Rfam family "Bacterial small subunit ribosomal RNA", at positions 137 to 843 of the family's 1533-position model. The record is from RNAcentral. Lineage: Bacteria; Bacillati; Actinomycetota; Actinomycetes; Propionibacteriales; Kribbellaceae.
UUCGGGAUAAGCCUCGGAAACGGGGUCUAAUACCGGAUAUCACUUCCUGCUUCAUGGUGGGGGGUUGAAAGUUCUGGCGGUUGGGGAUGGGCUCGCGGCCUAUCAGCUUGUUGGUGGGGUAAUGGCCUACCAAGGCGUCGACGGGUAGCCGGCCUGAGAGGGCGACCGGCCACACUGGGACUGAGACACGGCCCAGACUCCUACGGGAGGCAGCAGUGGGGAAUAUUGCGCAAUGGACGAAAGUCUGACGCAGCAACGCCGCGUGAGGGAUGACGGCCUUCGGGUUGUAAACCUCUUUCAGCAGGGACGAAGCGAGAGUGACGGUACCUGCAGAAGAAGGACCGGCCAACUACGUGCCAGCAGCCGCGGUAAUACGUAGGGUCCGAGCGUUGUCCGGAAUUAUUGGGCGUAAAGGGCUCGUAGGCGGUUCGUCACGUCGGGAGUGAAAACUCGGAGCUUAACUCCGAGCCUGCUUCCGAUACGGGCAGACUAGAGGUAGGCAGGGGAGAGCGGAACUCCUGGUGUAGCGGUGGAAUGCGCAGAUAUCAGGAAGAACACCGGUGGCGAAGGCGGCUCUCUGGGCCUUACCUGACGCUGAGGAGCGAAAGCGUGGGUAGCGAACAGGAUUAGAUACCCUGGUAGUCCACGCCGUAAACGUUGGGCGCUAGGUGUGGGGGACAUUCCACGUCCUCCG